Molecule: ribosomal RNA, 253 nt
Filed under: uncultured bacterium
Lineage: Bacteria
Description: partial 16S ribosomal RNA
Rfam family: Bacterial small subunit ribosomal RNA
Source: RNAcentral
UACGAAGGGGGCUAGCGUUGCUCGGAAUCACUGGGCGUAAAGCGCACGUAGGCGGACUCUUAAGUCAGGGGUGAAAUCCUGGAGCUCAACUCCAGAACUGCCUUUGAUACUGGGAGUCUUGAGUUCGGGGGAGGUGAGUGGAACUGCGAGUGUAGAGGUGAAAUUCGUAGAUAUUCGCAAGAACACCAGUGGCGAAGGCGGCUCACUGGCCCGAUACUGACGCUGAGGUGCGAAAGCGUGGGGAGCAAACAGG